Molecule: non-coding RNA, 48 nt
Filed under: Schistosoma mansoni
Lineage: Eukaryota; Metazoa; Platyhelminthes; Trematoda; Strigeidida; Schistosomatidae
Source: RNAcentral
AUCCAGCUGACGAGUCUUAAAUAGGACGAAACGUGCGUCAAACUGGAU